GUGGGGAAUCUUAGACAAUGGGGGCAACCCUGAUCUAGCCAUGCCGCGUGAGUGAUGAAGGCCUUAGGGUCGUAAAGCUCUUUCGCUGGGGAAGAUAAUGACGGUACCCAGUAAAGAAACCCCGGCUAACUCCGUACCAGCAGCCGCGGUAAUACGGAGGGGGUUAGCGUUGUUCGGAAUUACUGGGCGUAAAGCGCGCGUAGGCGGAUUGGAAAGUUGGGGGUGAAAUCCCGGGGCUCAACCCUGGAAUGGCCUUUGAAACUCCUGAUCUUGAGGUCGAGAGAGGUGAGUGGAAUUCCGAGUGUAGAGGUGAAAUUCGUAGAUAUUCGGAGGAACACCAGUGGCGAAGGCGGCUCACUGGCUCGAUACUGACGCUGAGGUGCGAAAGCGUGGGGAGCAAACAGGAUUAGAAACCCGGGUAGUCC
Molecule: ribosomal RNA, 425 nt
Filed under: uncultured bacterium
Lineage: Bacteria
Description: partial 16S ribosomal RNA
Rfam family: Bacterial small subunit ribosomal RNA
Source: RNAcentral